CAGCCGCCGCGGUAAUACGUAGGGCGCAAGCGUUGUCCGGAAUUAUUGGGCGUAAAGAGCUCGUAGGCGGUCUGUCGCGUCUGGUGUGAAAUCCCGAGGCUCAACCUCGGGCUUGCAUCGGGUACGGGCAGACUAGAGUGCGGUAGGGGAGACUGGAAUUCCUGGUGUAGCGGUGGAAUGCGCAGAUAUCAGGAGGAACACCGAUGGCGAAGGCAGGUCUCUGGGCCGCAACUGACGCUGAGGAGCGAAAGCAUGGGGAGCGAACAGGAUUAGAUACCCGGGUAGUCCCUGUCUCUUAUAC
RNAcentral lists this ribosomal RNA (301 nucleotides) under uncultured bacterium. Its description in RNAcentral is "partial 16S ribosomal RNA". It matches the Rfam family "Bacterial small subunit ribosomal RNA", at positions 509 to 807 of the family's 1533-position model. The record is from RNAcentral.